GCCGGAUUUUCACAUAGGCAUAUUUUUUACAAGCAUAAAUACAUAUUAAAAUCAAUAACUUAUAAAAAGCCAUAACCGGACUCAAAAUCCGGCGGGAGCAAUCCCAUGGGGGUUCGAUUUCCCCCUUCGGCACCA
Molecule: transfer RNA, 135 nt
Filed under: Deltaproteobacteria bacterium
Lineage: Bacteria; Pseudomonadati; Myxococcota; Myxococcia
Description: tRNA-OTHER
Source: RNAcentral